UCAGGAAGACUGGUACAUCUAAUAUCUUCUAGCAAUUAUGUUUUCACAGGUGUGUAUGUGUAUGUGUGUGUAGUAACCAAUUUUAAAUAGGGGAACCUGACUGAUGUUAGAACCCAAUUGAAAUUCAUUUUCUCUCUCCCUGUGUCUCUCUGUUUCUCCCCUCCCAGAGAAGUACCUCUUCUAUUUCUUAGUCAUGUGAUACUGGAUAAUUCCCUUUACCUUUCUGAGACUCAAUUUACUUUUACAUAAAAUGGCCUUAAUAAUGCUUUAUCUGUAUUACAGAUUCAAGUUUGACACUGGAUGGAUUGCUAUAAAAAUAUUUAAUCUCAUAUAUCACAUAAAGACAAAUAAUUACUCCUAAUCUUGAAUAGUGAAUACUUAUUGUUACUACUGUCAGUGCCUAUUCACCUGUGACUGCACUAGGAUAUUCAGACAGGUAAUAGAGGUAUGACAGAGAUCUGCUCUAGAUGACAAGCAGAUGUCUCAGUAAGUCAGGAGUAUAUAGAGUCAAGAGAACCUUGGAGAAAAUAAUAGAAGUCUAAGAGGCCAAGAGUUGAGAUCAAGCAUAGGGGCAACAGGAAUGCUCAACAUCAUUAAUUAUUAGAUAAAUGUAAAUCAAAACUACAAUGAGAUAACAUCUCAUGCUAGUCAGAAUGGCCAUUAUAAAAAAAGUCAAAAAAUAACGGAUGCUGGUGAGGUUGCAUCUUCAUGAUAGAAUUAUUUGUAUUCCUCUGCCUAUAUACCCAGUAAUAGGAUUGAUGGGUCAAAUCGUAGUUUGCAUUUAAGUCUUUGAGGAAUCUCCGUACUGCUUUCCACAGUGGUUGAACUUAUUUACACUCUGACCAACAAUGUAUAAGUGUUACCUUUUUUCUGAAACCUUGCCAGCAUCUGUUAUUUUUUGACUUUUUGAUAAUAGCCACUCUGACUGGUGCAAGAUGGUAUCUUAUCGUGGUUUUGAUUUGCAUUUGUCUAAUGAUCAGUGAUAUUGAGCUUUUUUAAUAUGCUUGUUAGCCAUAAGAAUGUUUUAUUUUGAAAAAUGUCUGUUGAUGUCCUUUGCCCUCUUUUUAAUGAGGUUGCUUUUCCCCUUGUAAAUUUGUUUAAGUUCUUUGUAGAUGCUGGAUACUAGACCUUUGUCAGACGCAUAGUUUGCAAAAAUGUUCUCCCACUCAGUAGGUUGUCUGUUUACUCUGUUGACAGUUUUUUUUGCUGUGCAGAAGCUCCUAAGUUUAAUUAGAU
Molecule: long non-coding RNA, 1236 nt
Filed under: Homo sapiens (human)
Lineage: Eukaryota; Metazoa; Chordata; Mammalia; Primates; Hominidae
Description: non-protein coding lnc-DAOA-11:2
Source: RNAcentral